GACGAACGCUGGCGGCGUGCCUAAUACAUGCAAGUCGAACGCUUCUUUCCUCCCGAGUGCUUGCACUCAAUUGGAAAGAGGAGUGGCGGACGGGUGAGUAACACGUGGGUAACCUACCCAUCAGAGGGGGAGAACACUUGGAAACAGGUGCUAAUACCGCAUAACAGUUUAUGCCGCAUGGCAUAAGAGUGAAAGGCGCUUUCGGGUGUCGCUGAUGGAUGGACCCGCGGUGCAUUAGCUAGUUGGUGAGGUAACGGCUCACCAAGGCCACGAUGCAUAGCCGACCUGAGAGGGUGAUCGGCCACACUGGGACUGAGACACGGCCCAGACUCCUACGGGAGGCAGCAGUAGGGAAUCUUCGGCAAUGGACGAAAGUCUGACCGAGCAACGCCGCGUGAGUGAAGAAGGUUUUCGGAUCGUAAAACUCUGUUGUUAGAGAAGAACAAGGACGUUAGUAACUGAACGUCCCCUGACGGUAUCUAACCAGAAAGCCACGGCUAACUACGUG
This 508-nucleotide ribosomal RNA is filed under the name uncultured bacterium. RNAcentral describes it as "partial 16S ribosomal RNA". It matches the Rfam family "Bacterial small subunit ribosomal RNA", at positions 28 to 507 of the family's 1533-position model. The record is from RNAcentral.